Molecule: ribosomal RNA, 406 nt
Filed under: uncultured bacterium
Lineage: Bacteria
Description: partial 16S ribosomal RNA
Rfam family: Bacterial small subunit ribosomal RNA
Source: RNAcentral
AUUGAACGCUGGAGGCAGGCCUAACACAUGCAAGUCGAACGAGUGGCGGACGGGUGAGUAAUGUCUGGGAAACUGCCUGAUGGAGGGGGAUAACUACUGGAAACGGUAGCUAAUACCGCAUACCAUCAGAUGUGCCCAGAUGGGAUUAGCUUGUUGGGGGGGUAACGGCUCAACAAGGCGACGAACCCUAGCUGGUCUGAGAGGAUGAGCAGCCACACGGGAACUGAGACACGGUCCAGACUCCUACGGUAGGCAGCAGUGGGGAAUAUUGCACAAUGGGCGCAAGCCGGAUGCAGCCAUGCCGCGUGUAUGAAGAAGGCCUGCGGGUUGUAAAGUACUUUCAGCGGGGAGGCGUUACCCGCAGAAGAAGCACCGGCUAACUCCGUGCCAGCAGCCGCGGUAAUAC